RNAcentral lists this ribosomal RNA (504 nucleotides) under uncultured bacterium. Its description in RNAcentral is "partial 16S ribosomal RNA". It matches the Rfam family "Bacterial small subunit ribosomal RNA", at positions 30 to 523 of the family's 1533-position model. The record is from RNAcentral.
AUUGGACGCUGGCGGCACGCCUAACACAUGCAGGUCGAGCGGUAACAUGCUUAGUAGCAAUACUAAGUGAUGACGAGCGGCGGACGGGUGAGGAACACGUAGGAACCUGCCCAAAAGUGGGGGAUAACUAAGGAAAACUUAGCUAAUACCGCAUAAUUCUCUGAGGAGAAAAGUUGCCCGUAAGGGUAGCGCUUUUGGAGGGGCCUGCGUCCGAUUAGUUAGUUGGUGAGGUAAUGGCUCACCAAGACUGUGAUCGGUAACUGGUCUGAGAGGACGACCAGUCACACUGGGACUGAGACACGGCCCAGACUCCUACGGGAGGCAGCAGUGGGGAAUCUUGGACAAUGGGGGCAACCCUGAUCCAGCGAUGCCGCGUGGGUGAAGAAGGCCUUCGGGUUGUAAAGCCCUUUAGGCUGGGAAGAAGAGUGUGGGAUGAAUAAUCCUGUACUUUGACGGUACCAGCAGAAUAAGCACCGGCAAACUCUGUGCCAGCCGCCGCGGUAA